RNAcentral lists this long non-coding RNA (770 nucleotides) under Homo sapiens (human). RNAcentral describes it as "non-protein coding lnc-CUX2-1:1". Lineage: Eukaryota; Metazoa; Chordata; Mammalia; Primates; Hominidae. The record is from RNAcentral.
UUUGAGUGUACAGUUCAAUGGUGUCAAGAACAUUUAUAACAAUGAAGCCAUCAUCACCCUCCAUCUCCAGAACUCUUUUCAUCUUGCAAAACUAAACUCUGUCCUCAUUCAUCACUAACUCCCCAUUUUGCCUCCCCUGAGCCCCUGCCACCCACUUUUCUACUUUUUGUCUCUGAAUUUGGCUACUUUUAGUAUUAGGUCGGUGCAAAAUCAAUUGUGGCUUUUGUCAUUAAUUGCAAAACUGCAAUUACUUUUGCAUCAAAAUAAUACCUCCUACAAGUGGAAUUAUAUAGUAUUUGUUUGAUGGCUGGCUUAUUUCAUUUAGCCUAAUAUCUUCAGGGUUCAUCCAUGUUGUAGCAUGUGUCAGAAUUUCCUUCCCUUAAGGCUGAAAAAUAUUCCAUUGCCUGGAUAGACCACAGUUUCUUUAUCCACUCAUCCACUGAUGGACACUUGGGAUGGACACAUGAGUAAUGCUGCUAUGAACAUGGGUAUGCAAAUGUCUCUUCAAGGGGUUACAGGCAUGAACAACCUCGCCCGGCCUUUUGCCCAAUUUUAAAUCAGGUUUUUUUUGUUGUUGUUGAGUUUUAGGAGUUCUGUCUAUAGUCUGCCUAUCAGAUUGCAAAUGACUUGCAAAUAUUUUGCCCACCUUUUAAAAAAGUCUUCAUCAGAAAAGUGCAAAACCUACAGCUAGGCUUAGACAACUUAUUAUUUUACCAUCUUCGAAGAGUUUCAUGUUGAAUGCUGAGAUUUUAGAAGUUGGGACAGGUAGC